Molecule: long non-coding RNA, 292 nt
Organism: Ictalurus furcatus (blue catfish)
Lineage: Eukaryota; Metazoa; Chordata; Actinopteri; Siluriformes; Ictaluridae
Exons: 3
Source: RefSeq, a predicted model, not a curated record
GCCAUGGUGAAGGAAAUCGUGGGACGUUCUAAAUGGGGAGAGCUGUUUGGGUAUAAAAACCAGCAGUCAGAAGGGGUCAAACAUCACGCCAAAUACUAUAGCAGAGAGGAACAAGGAAGAUCUCUAUCUGAAUAAAAGCACUUCCCAUCUCACUGAGCAAUGUCUGGAAGCCUGUACAUUGUUUUGAUUCUACUCGAAGCAGUUCUGCAUGGAACAGUUUCUGGUACUGCUUCCUCUUUAACUGAACCAAGUUCUACACCAACGAAUGUCCCUUCAUCCAAUACCUUAACUG